AAAUGGCAAAAAGACAAAAAAAAAAAAAAAAAAAAAAGAAAGAAAGAAAGAAACUGACUGCUUUGUUACUUUUUUCCCAUUUAUAUAAACCUCUUGAAUGUCUGACUUAGUAGAAGACAAACUGGAUUUUUAUACCUACUUCUGCUUCAAUUUAUUGCUAUAUUGUUUUUGUGGAAGUAUAUGAAAAAAAAAAUCUAAGCUCAUACAAUUAUGAAGUUGGCAAAAGAAGCAUUUUAAUAGCCUUUUCAAAUAAUUGUGAAGAUUCUUUUAUACAACAUCAAAAGUCAACAAGUGGUAGUUUCUUGAUAUGUGGAAUCUGAAACCAUAUCAAUGAGCUUUUCAUGCUUCAUUACAUUAAAAUUCAUUGAUCAGAUUUGCAGUUUGAGUGUAUAUUUUACCCACGCAUGAUUUUGUACCAUCAUGCUUUGGAUAUUUGAAAAAUAUUGUUUAUGCAGAUCUUCCAAAUGUAAACUUAAUGAAAUAUAAAUUUCAUCCUAUAAUUAUGUAUAUAUUUAUAUUACAUAAAAUAUGUAAUAUAAAAAUUACAUCUGUUUAUAUCACAUAAUUCUAUGUAAAUUCUUAGGGUAUUUAGAAGCUGUCAAGCUCAUAGUGACAGACAUGAGUUUUACAAAAUUCUUUUUUUUUUUCUUUUUUUUUUGUUUUUAUUUUUUUUUCGUUCUCUUUUUUUUUUUCUUUCUUUUUUCUUCUUCUUUUAGAGUUUUACAAAAUUCUAAUUCCCUUUAGAAAUCUUGAGUUUUAUCAUUGGCAACAAGACUUUCACUUUUCCUUUAAAUGACAGCUUCGCUUCGCUAAUUUUUGAGAAGAUGUCUAUCAGAUAUUCAAGUCUGAUAGCCUAUCAGUUGUUCAUUCAGGUAGAACUGGUCCUCCAUGGAAAAAACUCAAGAUCAGCUUAAAACUCACACACGCUUUUCCUCAAGCCAACCGUCAGACUUUCAUAGGCAAUACAAGUGCUUUCUGCUUACUUCCUAUAUUCACACACAUGGAAUAUUUAAAAGAUGUAUACUCAGGGUUGAUAUUUAAUAAGAUCAUUUUCAUUACAUCAUCAAGGACAUCCUCCAGUGAAAUUUGUAUUGUGUUUUUUCCCUGCUAGCGCAUGGCACUGAAGUAUUUGGAGACUACAGUGCCAUCUGGAGCCACUUGUGCUAUGGUACCAGCAGUUUUACUCAUGGUGUUAUGCACCAUUGUUACAACUAUAUCAAAAAAGCCAAAUAACAUCUUAGCAUUAGAAAGAAAAUAAUUUUGACCUCACAAACCUCCUGAGAGGUCUGAGACCACAGGGGAUCUGCGGACCACACUUUGAGGAUGCAGCCAAUCUUGUAAGAUUGAAAUAAAGACUUUUUUUUUUUGAGAUCAACUGUAAGAGGCCCCGAGUUCCCGUCGUGGCGCAGUGGUUAACGAAUCCGACUAGGAACCAUGAGGUUGCGGGUUCGGUCCCUGCCCUUGCUCAGUGGGUUAACGAUCCGACGUUGCCGUGAGCUGUGGUGUAGGUUGCAGACGCGGCUCGGAUCCUGCGUUGCUGUGGCUCUGGCGCAGGCCGGUGGCUACAGCUCCGAUUAGACCCCUAGCCUGGGAACCUCCAUAUGCCGCGGGAGCGGCCCAA
RNAcentral lists this long non-coding RNA (1621 nucleotides) under Sus scrofa (pig). Its description in RNAcentral is "lncRNA (ENSSSCG00065016802.1)". Lineage: Eukaryota; Metazoa; Chordata; Mammalia; Artiodactyla; Suidae. The record is from RNAcentral.